UACGUAGGGGGCAAGCGUUGUCCGGAUUUAUUGGGCGUAAAGAGCUCGUAGGUGGUUCGGUAAGUCGGAUGUGAAAUCUCCAGGCUCAACCUGGAGGGGUCAUUCGAUACUGCCGUGACUAGAGGUCGGUAGGGGAGUGUGGAAUUCCUGGUGGAGCGGUGAAAUGCGCAGAUAUCAGGAGGAACACCGAUUGCGAAGGCAGCUCGCUGGAACGUUACUGACGCUGAGACGCGAAAGCGUGGGGAGCAAACAGG
RNAcentral lists this ribosomal RNA (254 nucleotides) under uncultured bacterium. Its description in RNAcentral is "partial 16S ribosomal RNA". It matches the Rfam family "Bacterial small subunit ribosomal RNA", at positions 524 to 776 of the family's 1533-position model. The record is from RNAcentral.